UCUGGUCCUAUGAUUGACAUGAAUGUUG
RNAcentral lists this small RNA (28 nucleotides) under Bombyx mori (domestic silkworm). RNAcentral's name for it is "ovarian small RNA-3487". Lineage: Eukaryota; Metazoa; Arthropoda; Insecta; Lepidoptera; Bombycidae. The record is from RNAcentral.